CACAGACACACUUGCAAACUUCUUUGCUCCGUUUCGAACACUCUUUAUCAAUGCUGCUACCAGCUUCAGCUUCAAUGCUACUUCCAUUUCAGCUUCAACGGUAGCUAUUCCAAGAUACAAAUGGCUUGCUGCUAUAGGUAUCACUGUUUUCUUCUGCACCUUCAUUCCCAUUGCAGAACCAUUCCGCUCUCACUCCGGGCUAAUUUCUCAACCGUCGCAACUUCCCUUCGCAAUCUUCAACCGCCAAGACCGCUUCGACAACCACGCGCCCUCGUCUACAAGGGUUAUUGUAGUGCGUCCAGCAACGCGAGUUUGAUUCCAGAAUAUUUGCAGCUCAGCAAUGCGGAUAUUGCAGCUAACUCUGCCGCUUCCAAUGGCAGAGUCAUGCUCAUUGAUGGCACCUCAAUAAUUCAUAGGGCCUAUUACAAGCUUUUAGCGAAAUUGCACCAUGGUCAUCUAACACAUGCCGAUGGAAAUGGAGAUUGGGUUUUAACGAUAUUUACGGCUCUCUCACUUAUUAUUGAUGUUCUGGAGUUUAUCCCUUCCCAUGUUGUGGUGGUGUUUGACCAUGAUGGAAUUCCUUUUGGUCAUUCCACUAAUUCAUCAAAACACUGUUUUAACGCAAAAGGUCAGAAUUUCCGACACAAUCUAUACCCUUCCUACAAGAGCAAUCGCCCUCCAACUCCUGAUACCAUUGUUCAGGGACUUCAGUACCUAAAAGCCUCCAUCAAGGCAAUGUCCAUCAAAGUCAUUGAGGUUCCAGGUGUUGAGGCAGAUGAUGUGAUUGGAACAUUGGCCUUAAGGAAUGUUAAUGCUGGGUAUAAGGUACGAGUUGUCUCCCCAGACAAAGACUUUUUUCAGAUUCUGUCUCCUUCAUUACGCCUCCUUAGAAUUGCUCCACGAGGAGAUCAGAUGGUUUCAUUUGGAGUUGAGGACUUUGAAAAACGAUAUGGAGGUCUUAAACCAUCACAGUUCGCAGAUAUGGUUGCACUUUCCGGUGACAGAUCUGAUAACAUUCCAGGAGUUAGCGGGAUUGGAGAUGUUUAUGCUGUGCAAUUGAUCAGUAAAUUUGGCACAUUGGAGACGUUAUUGGAAUGUGUUGAUCAAAUAGAAGAGGAUCGCAUUAGAAAGACGUUGAUUGAAAAUGCUGAGCAGGCACGCUUAAGCAAGGAACUGGCAUUGUUGCGUUCUGAUCUUCCAUUCUACAUGGUGCCAUUUGCUACAAAAGAUAUCUUAUUCAAGAAACCAGAGGACAAUGGUAGUAAAUUCAACAGCCUUUUAACUGCUAUCAGUGCAUAUGCUGAAGGGUUUUCAGCUGAUCCUAUUAUCAGGAGAGCAUUUCAUCUGUGGAGAAAGUUGGAAUCAAGAUAAAUUUACCAAGUCAUCAGAUGGAUUAGACAAUCUCCAAUCUUAGACAUUUACAACAUCACAAGCACACACUACACACUCGCACACGCAACAUUUAACUACUUGGCCUCAGUCAAGUUGCAAACCCGGGUGCAGCACAUUAAGAGGCACAGGAUUUGUCACUAGAACAAAGCCUCAGCUUCAUCUCAUAGAGCUGGAAAUUUUCAACCAAUUGAUCAAGUUCAAGAUUUAACAAUCUACAGUCAUGAAGGAAGACUAGCCAGCACACUAGCAAGGGUCUUCGAAAGAACUCAAAAGAUAACAAGAGAAUCUCACACAAGAAUCAAUUAUAAAAGCAGAAAUACUUUGCUUGUGUCCAGUAAAAGGAAUGAAAUUGAAGAAAGAGAGAUGAGACUCUUAGUGGAAUUUGAAUCAGCAUUCUACAACUUAUCUGGACUCUUAGAAAAGCUCCCCGAAAGGAUAAAGAAGAAUCUCUGCUAUUUGAUAAAAGACAGAGAAGACCACAAGUGCCAGCUAUGUGUCUCAGAGUUAUCUGAAGAAAGCAAUAAUGAAUCAACCCACAUGAUAAAGGAAGGAGACAACGCAUCUGAAGGCCACAUAAUGAAAGAGGAGGACAGCACAUCUGAAGCAUCUCUCAACAUUAUUGCAUAAUGACGUAAGCGCUUAGGUCAUAGAGCACCAACAAUGUAGCUGGUGCAAGAUAAUAAACAAUGACGUAAGCAAUGACGUCAUAAGAAGGGUAAGGAUGGGAAUUGUCCAUCAGACCCAACCAUUAUAAAUAGGUUGCUUAGGCAAUUGUAGAAAUCAUCAAACCAUAGAAAGCAGGAGGCUAAGAGUACUUAUAUGCUAGGAGAGCAAGGAGGAAGUUGCCGAGGCGAUUCUAUAGUUUGAAGAAGAAUUUCCUUAGGAAAAACCAAUUCUAAAAUCCCCUCUGGAGUUAGUAUCUACAAUCUCCCAUCUGGAGAUAAAAACAUCUUAUGUAAAAUAUACUAAAUAAAGGAAGUUUUUCUCCAGAAAGGUACGCCUUUAUCCUAAUUUCUUAGUUAUGAAUUAUUUAGAAAGUUUAGAAUUAACAGAAGAAUCUGAUUAUUAUAGAUUAACUGCUUUAUUAGAUAAUGAA
RNA transcript from Arachis stenosperma, 2488 nucleotides. RefSeq lists it as uncharacterized. NCBI's taxonomy places the organism in Eukaryota, Viridiplantae, Streptophyta, Magnoliopsida, Fabales, Fabaceae. The record is from RefSeq and is a predicted model, not a curated record. The transcript has 17 exons.